CCUACGGGUGGCAGCAGUGAGGAAUAUUGGUCAAUGGACGAGAGUCUGAACCAGCCAAGUAGCGUGAAGGAUGACUGCCCUAUGGGUUGUAAACUUCUUUUAUAUGGGAAUAAAAUGUUCCACGUGUGGGAUUUUGUAUGUACCAUAUGAAUAAGGAUCGGCUAACUCCGUGCCAGCAGCCGCGGUAAUACGGAGGAUCCGAGCGUUAUCCGGAUUUAUUGGGUUUAAAGGGAGCGUAGAUGGGUUGUUAAGUCAGUUGUGAAAGUUUGCGGCUCAACCGUAAAAUUGCAAUUGAUACUGGCAGCCUUGAGUACAGUAGAGGUGGGCGGAAGUCGUGGUGUAGCGGUGAAAUGCUUAGAUAUCACGAAGAACUCCGAUUGCGAAGGCAGUUCACUGGACUGCAACUGACACUGAGGCUCGAAAGUGUGGGUAUCAAACAGGAUUAGAUACCCUUGUAGUC
This 460-nucleotide ribosomal RNA is filed under the name uncultured bacterium. RNAcentral describes it as "partial 16S ribosomal RNA". It matches the Rfam family "Bacterial small subunit ribosomal RNA", at positions 338 to 795 of the family's 1533-position model. The record is from RNAcentral.